This is a long non-coding RNA of Galendromus occidentalis (western predatory mite), 886 nucleotides long. RefSeq lists it as uncharacterized. The transcript is spliced from 3 exons. The record is from RefSeq and is a predicted model, not a curated record. Lineage: Eukaryota; Metazoa; Arthropoda; Arachnida; Mesostigmata; Phytoseiidae.
GGGACUGUAAGUUUGACACAGAAUGGAAUGGCUUUCCGCUUGACGUCCUGAGACCGAGCGAGGCUCGCGUGAUGCCGUACCUCCCGUGGAGGCACGAACGAGUAGACCGAAGUGAGGGUCUCGUGAGGUUGCCCCAGGGCUCUGAUUAUACGCUUGAAUGGGGAUGGAUUCUGUCAGCUCCGAAUGCUCCUUGGUGACUUGUAUCUCUCGAUGUCCCUGAUCUCCCUUUGUGUUGUAACUUGGAUAUCGAGCGGGAAUGAAUUUGUGGUCCAGGAUAGAUAUCGAAUGCUGCCUUAGCCCCUUCAGUCGCCGGCUAAAACGCUCUCAGUAGCGUGAGAGACAAUCCGCCCUUACGGAGAGGAGAAUGAAGCAGACGACAAGAUCUCGUAGCGGAAGAACCGUCUAGUGUCUGAAGCACGCGCUUCGGGCUAGUCACACGUGCUUCAAAAUGCGAAGAACGUUGGAUCCCAUCAUCGAGCGGAUCGGACGGGGGCCUCCAUCAACGUGCUCUGGAAAAGGCAUGGAAUCUGAGGAUCGGGAACCUCCAAUCGUCGACCACGAUCCGAAUCGUUGAAGAGAACGCCACCCGGCCGAUGUUCGCAGGGAAUUGAUCUCCCGGAAGGAUGGCGAGUCCUCCACUAAAAUCCAGGCGCAGGCCGGUAACUCUUGCCCCCAGCGUGAGCUGGUCCCGGACACUGCAAACGAACUCAUAGCCGUCGCAUGAAUCGCAGGCCACGUGGAGGCCGACCGGGAUCGGCCGACGACCUUCCGUUCAGCCCCAACUCGAGUCGCAUUGACAACGCAGCGAUCGGCGGAAAACAUAUUCAUCUUCCUAUUCUUUGUACAUGAGUGAAAAUACACUCGAAUAUAAACAUUGGGAAUGGAA